This 321-nucleotide ribosomal RNA is filed under the name Triticum aestivum (bread wheat). RNAcentral describes it as "partial small subunit ribosomal RNA". Lineage: Eukaryota; Viridiplantae; Streptophyta; Magnoliopsida; Poales; Poaceae. The record is from RNAcentral.
AUGUCAGUGUUGCACGCCUUGACCAUGGGCCUAAAGACGGCCCGACACAAGAGCCAGAGCUUCCCCUCCUUGUCGGCCAUUGAGAAACUGUACGACGACAACUUCAGGAACCAGCCGGUGCAGCCAGAAGGGGGGAAGCUCAGGUUGGUCAUCGAUUUGAUUGAGACCGAGCUGCUCCACCUCUUCAAGCUCGAAGGGGCCGCGUUCCUCGAGGAGAUACGCAGAGUCUUCAAGUUUGAAACUCCCGAGAUUCAUGACAGGGACAAGUUUGCUUGGUUCAGAGACGAGGAAUUCGCGCGACAAACCAUCGCAGAGUUAUAA